CCGGAGUCACUUCUCAACGCGGUGCGCACAGACCCAGGAUUUGUGAAGAGGUGACCCAAAUUUAAAGACAACGUUGGAUGCAAACCGAUUUGCCAGCAAUUGCGUCACCAUCAAAACCAGCUCUGAACGUGUCUUCCAAAGAUACCAAGUGAAAUACGUACAGAUGGGAUUUACGUCUGAAAAACCAGAGCAGGAGUCCAUGGGAAGGGACGGAGGUGGAACAGGACUGGACCAGAGCAGAACUGGACUGGUAAGUGGUUGUUGCUGAGUACUGGGCAAAUGGAGCAGGAGUCAAGACCUCUGCAGCAGGUCAUGGCGUUUCACAGAACCCGCAAGGAGAGGAAUCCAUGCCUGCACCUGUCACGGGAAUCCUUCAGAAGGGAAGGCUGAGAGCAGCAAGCCAUACAAAAUGAUUCCCAGACCAGGAUGAACGGUUACCUUCCCUGCCUACCUCGGCAUGAGGCUCCCUCCAGCUGGCAGUCCUAGAAGGCUUCUAGUCGGGCUUCUAGUCGGUGCUGGGAGGGGAGGUCAAAGAAGAGAAAAUCCAGGAACCUCUGCCACCGCCUCGACCAGAGAGACAGCAUCGCAGCUCUGGGUUUGUCUGGACUGCCGGGGCCACUGUGUGCUGCGUCAUCCAAGGACUCCCGUGCUCGGCUGAGCCAGUCUUCUAUUGCUGCAGGCGGCCAGCUGCAGGACUAGAAUACGCACAGAUUUGAUAUAUUCAGGGGUCCUGGAACCAAGUCUCUGAGUACAGCAAGGGGUGUCUGAAUAUAUAUUUUUCCUCCGACACGGAAGUUAGUGCUUCAUACACACCCUUUUUCUUCCUCCUAGCAAGGUACUUGGUACUCCUUCCCUAUCAGCCCCCAAAGAGCUUCCUCCAUCUUGGCGGCAGCUGUGUGAAAUUUAUACCAUUUAUUUAACCAAGCCCUACUGACUGACCUUUGGCUGGUCACACACACUGGCUGUUACAUCAUGCAGCCUCUGUCUGUCCCACCUUCCAGAUCCCCACCACCCUGCUUUUCUUGUCCCCACACCACACCCCAACCCAGGAACCAGCCAGGUAAAGGGAGGACCCUUUCUCUUUAAGAAGGUGGAGCAAGAGGAUGGUGGUGAGCAGUCAUCAUUUGACAUUUUCUUUCUUUCGUGCACAGAUGCCUUGGCAUUGUGUUUGCUUGCAUGCAGCUAUGCCCUGCAGCCACUGUGGAAUGCUCGCGUAAGGAGCCCUUCUCUGCACAUACCCCGACACCGUGAUGGCAUCUUGCCUCUCCCCAAGGCACUGCAGUCUAGUGGUCAGAAGCCCGAAGCCCAGCUCUGCCAGUAAUGUACUGUGUGCUCUUAGGUAAUCACCUUGCUUCAGGACAAUGGAAUAGUAACAGCUAAGCCAUGUACCCGGCACUACUAAUGAGAGCAUUGCAUAUUUAGCCUUAUUUACUUAAAACAACAUUUUGAGGUGGGCCACAUGAUUUUCUCCAUUGUGUCUUUCUGAGUCACAGAGAGGUUAAGUAACUGUGCAGGGUCACACAGCUCAGCAGAACUGAGAUUCACUCUUAACAAUCCGGCUGUAGGUUAUCACGAGGGUUACAUGUAUCAGUGAGCAGAAGGUCCUUGGACAAGGACCCAGUACAUAGCAUGUGCUCAUUAAAGCUUAGCUGUUGUCAUUAGGACUUGCCUAAGGAAUUGGAAUAUGGCUGGUCUUGCCUAGGUGGGGAGGAGGGAAGACUGAAAAAUACCAUUCACACUUAGAAAAGUCAAAGAUUCCAGUUUACUCUGUCACUUUUUUAAAAGCUCUGUAUUCAUGGGAGAGGAGGAGGAAGAGCAGCUCCCACUGGGAUCAGGUGGGAAGUGAGCCCGGGUCACCCUGUUAUUACAAGCCCCGCCCAAGGAGCCUGGCUUCCCGUCCGGCCUCCGGGAUCAUGCUAGCACGGGGCUCUGUCAACGUGAAAUGUGCAAAUGAUUUGGCGUCCCCCCUCCCUUGCUUUUCUUUGCAGCAGACAGAGAAGCAAAGAAGUUAGCGAGCUUGUUUUGGCAGAAGAAAAAACACAAAAUGCCCAACCACAGAUUCUCAAAAAUAUUGCUAUGCACUAAUUUUGCUAACAUGUUAGACAGCCCUCGGAUCUAGGCAAUCUUGUUCCUCGGCUGGGAAGAGUUCCCGCAAGCCAUGUGAUCCCAAAUCCACCCUAGGGAUAAUGAGAAAAUCAGUUCCGGCCUUCCCUGGCCUUCCAGCCAAGCUGAACCAGGGCAUCCCCUGAUGCUUCAGCCCAGGGCCCACCCAGAGGAUGCUAGCUGGUGUGCAGAGGCCUCAGCCCUGCCCUCCUGGACUCAGGUAAGACCCAGAGGUUUCCAUGACCUCAAAAUAAUUUAUCAGACAAAAACUCACUGCCCAGGUCAAAGUCACAGCACCAGAAAGCCAACUGGAGGGCAAAGACAAGGCUCCUUGUUGCCACAGUCCCCUGACCCUUCAAGGUCAGCAUCUCCGUCAAAAUAGGCUCAGUACUGAGGUAAGAAGGAGAACAUCACUGUUAAGAAGGUAAUGAGUCACAAAUGCUAUUUUGAUGGUUUUCUUUGAAAGAAAUACACAUAACCAAACCAAUUUUAAUUAAAGAUCUUGUCUUUGUAAUCAGGCAGCCACAAAUGAAGGCAAAACUGCUUUCAUGUGGCAUAAUAUACACAGAGCUGAACUAGUUUUCCCAUAAAAGGGCAGGUUCUUUUUUUUCAAAUAAGAAACUAGUUUGUUCUUCACAAUACGGGGGAUGCAACAGAAAGCUGUCUUUUGCAAAGUAUAAAAUUGCAAAUCCUCCCAUAAAAGCCAUGUGUUGAUGCUAAACCAGUGCGAACAUUUGCCAAAUGAGCAUGCCAGCCAGGAUUAUCCUACCCUUUGAGAUUAGACAUGUGAUCCUGAUUUUUAAGUGAAAAAUGCAGCCCAAGACCAAAUAAACAUACCUACAAGCACAUCGAAAGCUCAAAUGGUUGAGAAAUGAUUGGAACACACCCUGGUGUGUAUUUCUGAGGAAGAAUCAACGUGAACAUGGAAACUGAUGUUUUGAGUUUUGGUUGUAAAACUGCAACAGAAGUGAAAUACCGCCCCUAACUAUGUCCACUGAAACUAGUGAGGAGAUAAUCAUUUUCAGUUAAAUAUGCAUGUAAUUUAAUAACCCACAGAGGGCAAAUACAUUUGAGGUGGCCUGAACACAGUUAGGAGUUCUUGCUUAUCAGCAGCGUUGAAUCCUGCCUUUAUUAGAGAAAGUUGCCCUGUGACCUGCUGUACCCAGAGGGCAACCUGGAGACCACUCCCCCAUCACACCACACUCACUGGACU
Cebus imitator (Panamanian white-faced capuchin) is the source of this 3316-nucleotide long non-coding RNA. RefSeq lists it as uncharacterized. NCBI's taxonomy places the organism in Eukaryota, Metazoa, Chordata, Mammalia, Primates, Cebidae. The transcript has 5 exons. The record is from RefSeq and is a predicted model, not a curated record.